Molecule: ribosomal RNA, 1205 nt
Filed under: Candidatus Phytoplasma citri
Lineage: Bacteria; Bacillati; Mycoplasmatota; Mollicutes; Acholeplasmatales; Acholeplasmataceae
Description: bacterial SSU rRNA
Rfam family: Bacterial small subunit ribosomal RNA
Source: RNAcentral
AUAGGAAGAAAUAAGCCCUAUGUUAUAUCUUUUAAGACCUAGUAAUAGGUAUGCUUUAGGAGGGGCUUGCGCCAUAUUAGUUAGUUGGUAGGGUAAUGGCCUACCAAGACGAUGAUGUGUAGCUGGACUGAGAGGUUGAACAGCCACAUUGGGACUGAGACACGGCCCAAACUCCUACGGGAGGCAGCAGUAGGGAAUUUUCGGCAAUGGAGGAAACUCUGACCGAGCAACGCCGGCGUGAAUGACGAAGUACUUCGGUAUGUAAAGUUCUUUUAUCAAGGAAGAAAAGCAAAUGGCGAACCAUUUGUUUGCCGGUACUUGAUGAAUAAGCCCCGGCUAAUUAUGUGCCAGCAGCCGCGGUAAGACAUAAGGGGCAAGUGUUAUCCGGAAUUAUUGGGCGUAAAGGGUGCGUAGGCGGUCUAGUAAGUCAGUGGUGUAAUGGCAACGCUCAACGUUGUCCGGCUAUUGAAACUGCUAAACUUGAGUUAGAUAGAGGCGAGUGGAAUUCCAUGUGUAGCGGUAAAAUGCGUAAAUAUAUGGAGGAACACCAGAGGCGUAGGCGGCUCGCUGGGUCUUAACUGACGCUGAGGCACGAAAGCGUGGGGAGCAAACAGGAUUAGAUACCCUGGUAGUCCACGCCGUAAACGAUGAGUACUAAGUGUCGGGUUAAACCGGUACUGAAGUUAACACAUUAAGUACUCCGCCUGAGUAGUACGUACGCAAGUAUGAAACUUAAAGGAAUUGACGGGACUCCGCACAAGCGGUGGAUCAUGUUGUUUAAUUCGAAGAUACCCGAAAAACCUUACCAGGUCUUGACAUGUUUUUGCGAAACGGUAGUAAUAUCGUGGAGGUUAUCAGAAACACAGGUGGUGCAUGGUUGUCGUCAGCUCGUGUCGUGAGAUGUUAGGUUAAGUCCUAAAACGAGGCGAAACCCUUAUCGUUAGUUGCCAGCACGUUAUGGUGGGGACUUUAACGAGACUGCCAGUGAUAAAUUGGAGGAAGGUGAGGAUCACGUCAAAUCAGCAUGCCCCUUAUGACCUGGGCUACAAACGUGAUACAAUGGCUGUUACAAAGGGUAGCUGAAACGCAAGUUCUUGGCCAAUCCCCAAAAACAGUCUCAGUCCGGAUUGAAGUCUGCAACUCGACUUCAUGAAGUUGGAAUCGCUAGUAAUCGCGAAUCAGCAUGUCGCGGUGAAUACGUUCUC